AUUGAACGCUGGCGGCAUGCCUUACACAUGCAAGUCGAACGGCAGCACGGGUGCUUGCACCUGGUGGCGAGUGGCGAACGGGUGAGUAAUAUAUCGGAACGUGCCCUAGAGUGGGGGAUAACGUAGCGAAAGUUACGCUAAUACCGCAUACGAUCUACGGAUGAAAGUGGGGGAUCGCAAGACCUCAUGCUCCUGGAGCGGCCGAUAUCUGAUUAGCUAGUUGGUGGGGUAAAAGCCUACCAAGGCGACGAUCAGUAGCUGGUCUGAGAGGACGACCAGCCACACUGGGACUGAGACACGGCCCAGACUCCUACGGGAGGCAGCAGUGGGGAAUUUUGGACAAUGGGGGAAACCCUGAUCCAGCAAUGCCGCGUGUGUGAAGAAGGCCUUCGGGUUGUAAAGCACUUUUGUCAGGAACGAAACGGUGGGGGCUAAUAUCUCCUGCUAAUGACGGUACCUGAAGAAUAAGCACCGGCUAACUACGUGCCAGCAGCCGCAGUAA
RNAcentral lists this ribosomal RNA (502 nucleotides) under uncultured bacterium. Its description in RNAcentral is "partial 16S ribosomal RNA". It matches the Rfam family "Bacterial small subunit ribosomal RNA", at positions 30 to 523 of the family's 1533-position model. The record is from RNAcentral.